AGAGGGAGCCCCACCACCCUCAGGCUUCCUGAUCUCACUCUCCACACCCACUCUCGCUCUGCCUGACCUGGCCUUUGCUCUCCCAGACUUGCCUUGCCUUUUUGGAUCUGACCCUUGCUGGUUCCUUGCUGUCGCCUCGAACCCGCUCAAAACUAACUCUGAUGGAACACUCAGGGCACGACUCCUCCCGCCUCUGGGGCAUACACCUCCCUCCGCAGCAGGGCUGGGAGUUGGUGCCACCGAAACAGCCUCCGCCCUCCUUCUGGGUUUUUCUGUUGGUUUCCAGGGUGCCAUUUCCUCCUGCCCUCUCUGUCUCUUUCAUGUUUUAUUUUUUAUAGCUGUGGGGAGUCUUUGAGGAUGGGGUGGGGUGAGACGCAGGCCAUAGGCCCCCCUUCAUCAAGAGUGGAAGUCAGCGGGAGGAAAAAGGAUGUCCUUAAAGUGGCGUGAAGAAGCUCUCUCUCCCCUUCAGAGGGCAGAAGGGAAAUCCUGAGCAAGUUCCUGGUAUCAGCGACCCAAUCUACCUCCUCUAGAUGUUGUGGAGAUAAAACGUUUCUCUCUCUCCCCAAGCCCUGGAUUCUUGUUUUGUAAAAUGAUGACAAUGAUGAUUCCGGCUUAGGCAACUUCAUCAGGCUGCUAUGUGGAGCCCAGCAGAUACUGGAUGUGAAAGUACUUGGAAACUACUGCAGCAUCUUCCAGAGGAGAAGGCCUCCGGGGGUUGAGCCUUUGCCUUGGACUUCGGGACAGAUGUGGUAGAAGCAGAUACAGCUCUGCAGGCUUUCUGGAGAACCCUCUUACUCCCACUCUGGUGUGGCCCCCAGGCACCUGAGGCUUGGAGCCACAGAACCUUGGAGGUGCUCUGGCUGCGUUUCACCUUGGGCCACUUCACGAACCUCUCACCCCCUAUUCUGGGACUUUCUGCCCUGUAGUAUUGACAUUCACCAAUGUGUAACCUGGAGCUGCACAAGACUGGCCUUGGCGAGUUGUGGAUAGGACCCUGGAGAUAAGUGCUUCCCUUUUCAGUGCUCAGUGCUCCGGUGGGCAGUCUUCAGCUGCUUUUCGUAAAGCUUUUUAGGAAUGCCCAAGGAAUGGAGCACUCUCCCCUCUUCCUUGUUCCCCUCUGCGCAGGACCUCACUCCAGCCCUCUGGGCUCAUCACCCAAAUGAACACCCCGAUGGCAACUUUUGUGUCCAGCCCUGCUUUGGGAGGAAACCACUAAGACAAGAUGCUGAAGAACAGCUGUUCAUCUGGUUUUUGCUCAGAAGUAUGCCCCACGCCCAGUGUCCCAGAGCUGCGAGGAGCCCAUGCGGGCCAGGGAUGGUGGGUGGGAGGGCCUCCCAGGACACGCAGAGAAUGGCCCAGCCACUGGUGAGCCUGCCUGGGGUCUUGGCAGAGGAUCCUUCUGAUCUACUUAAAGACAGACGAAGCUUGGAGGGUUAUUCCCAGGCUCUUGGGGAUACUGCAGGCCCUGCCCAUUUGGUCACCCAAGCCCCUAAACUCUGGUGGGCUUCGCUCAGCCCACACCCACUGUUCCUAU
Long non-coding RNA from Mustela lutreola (European mink), 1534 nucleotides. RefSeq lists it as uncharacterized. The transcript has 2 exons. The record is from RefSeq and is a predicted model, not a curated record. Lineage: Eukaryota; Metazoa; Chordata; Mammalia; Carnivora; Mustelidae.